AGCUUUGCGCAGUGGCAGUAUCGUAGCCAAUGAGGUUUAUCCGAGGCGCGAUUAUUGCUAUAUAUGCAUUAGUGUUUCACUGGACUAUUCAAGACUCAAUAAAAAGUCCACAGGGGG
Rattus norvegicus (Norway rat) is the source of this 117-nucleotide small nuclear RNA. Ensembl annotates it as U4 spliceosomal RNA. The record is from Ensembl. NCBI's taxonomy places the organism in Eukaryota, Metazoa, Chordata, Mammalia, Rodentia, Muridae.